ACGCUGGCGGCACGCCUAACACAUGCAAGUCGAACGAAGUAGCAAUACUUAGUGGCAGACGGGUGAGUAACAUGUAGGUAUCUGCCCUUUGGCCUGGAAUAACACGAGGAAACUUGUGCUAAUACCGGAUAAGUCCUUACGGAGAAAGCUUUAUGCACCAUUGGAUGAGCCUGCACUUGAUUAGUUUGUUGGUGGGGUAAUGGCCUACCAAGACUGUGAUCAAUAGCUGAUUUGAGAGGAUGAUCAGCCACAUUGGGACUGAGACACGGCCCAAACUCCUACGGGAGGCAGCAGUGGGGAAUCUUGCACAAUGGAGGAAACUCUGAUGCAGCGAUGCCGCGUGAGUGAAGAAGGCCCUUGGGUUGUAAAGCUCUUUCGUCGGGGAAGAAAAUGACUGUACCCGAAUAAGAAGGUCCGGCUAACUUCGUGCCAGCAGCCGCGGUAAUACGAAGGGACCUAGCGUAGUUCGGAAUUACUGGGCUUAAAGAGUUCGUAGGUGGUUGAAAAAGUUGGUGGUGAAAUCCCAGAGCUUAACUCUGGAACUGCCAUCAAAACUUUUCAGCUAGAGUUUGAUAGAGGAAAGCAGAAUUUCUAGUGUAGAGGUGAAAUUCGUAGAUAUUAGAAAGAAUACCAAUUGCGAAGGCAGCUUUCUGGAUCAUUACUGACACUGAGGAACGAAAGCAUGGGUAGCGAAGAGGAUUAGAUACCCUCGUAGUCCAUGCCGUAAACGAUGUGUGUUAGACGUUGGAAAUUUAUUUUCAGUGUCGCAGCGAAAGCGAUAAACACACCGCCUGGGGAGUACGACCGCAAGGUUAAAACUCAAAUGAAUUGACGGGGACCCGCACAAGUAGUGGAGCAUGUGGUUUAAUUCGAAGAUACGCGCAGAACCUUACCAACACUUGACAUGUUCGUCGCGACUUUAAGAGAUUAAAGUUUUCGGUUCGGCCGGACGAAACACAGGUGCUGCAUGGCUGUCGUCAGCUCGUGUCGUGAGAUGUUGGGUUAAGUCCCGCAACGAGCGCAACCCUCACUUUUAGUUGCCAUCAUUAAGUUGGGCACUCUGAAAGAACUGCCAGUGAUAAGCUGGAGGAAGGUGGGGAUGACGUCAAGUCCUCAUGGCCCUUACGUGUUGGGCUACACACGUGCUACAAUGGUAUCUACAACAGGAAGCAAGACGGCGACGUUAAGCAAAUCCUUAAAAGAUACCUCAGUUCGGAUUGCACUCUGCAACUCGAGUGCAUGAAGCUGGAAUUACUAGUAAUCGUGGAUCAGCGUGCCACGGUGAGUGCGUUCCCGGGUCUUGUACUCACCGCC
Molecule: ribosomal RNA, 1314 nt
Filed under: uncultured bacterium
Lineage: Bacteria
Description: 16S ribosomal RNA
Rfam family: Bacterial small subunit ribosomal RNA
Source: RNAcentral